This 20-nucleotide microRNA is filed under the name Oryza sativa (Asian cultivated rice). RNAcentral describes it as "osa-miR2105". The record is from miRBase by way of RNAcentral. Lineage: Eukaryota; Viridiplantae; Streptophyta; Magnoliopsida; Poales; Poaceae.
UUGUGAUGUGAAUGAUUCAU